AUCUCAAAUCUUUUUUUUGGUAAACAUUCUAUAUUACCAAUUUUUAUUUUGUACGGAAUACAAAAAUUAAAAAACAGAAUGCAAAAUUAAAAUAAACAGAAUUCAAAUCUAAACUAAAAGGGGAUGAACACAACAGUUAAAACGGAAAACACAACCUAAUCGAACUAAACGCUUGCCACAAAAAAGGCAUGUAAUAAUAACGAGAGACAUAACUUGGUAGAAUUGGCUUGUCCGAUGAUAUGUUCUUAAUGAUUGUGCACAACCAAGAACAGCUUAUGGAAGUCCUCCUAAGACAGACCGAGCUUUAUUCAGUAAGAAAAACUUUCAAAAGUCGCUACUCGCCGUCAAACCUACACAUAAAAAGAAAAACCAAACAACACCACCUAAUGAAAGACAGUCCGGAACAAUCCUAAAUUUUGUCUCUGGAAUGAGUAUGCCCGGCAUGCGCUGCCACCAGAAAAGAGAGGACCGGCUUUCAAGACCAGCAACACUCCUCCUCACACCAUGCAACGGAGAACCCGCGACAAAUCUUCCAAAAUUUGAAACGAAAACUUCUAUGGAAGCUAUCCGAAAACAAAAUCGUCAAAUCCUAAGAGACGCGCUACCGACGACAAACAAGAAAAAAUAAACCGCAUCCUCACCGUUUGAAGAACACCGGCGAACGCUCAAACCAUGCAAGACUGUUCAUCUAAGCCGAGAAGGAGGAGCACCGAAAACACAAUAGAAGAAGAAUCUUUUCCAGUAGCCAAAUUUGACACCAGACUGUGACCUACUCUCUUUAGUUGACCCACAAGAGCCCCUCACCGACUCUAAUUGUGCUUCUCCAAAACUCUGAACAGAGGAGCAUCAGAUCUGAACCGCGGAGACGGAUGCUUAGAACACCGAGAAAGAAAACACAGGAGAAGAAAUAAGAGGAGAGAUGAAGCUGAAGAGAAGCAAAAGGGAGACAUGAAGCGACGAAAAUCCGCCGACUGCCCAAACUUAAUUUCGAACAAGAUUUUCUAAGUCAAGAAUGUUUAAAAAGAAAAAGAAUGUAGUUGGUAUCUCAAAUCUUUUAUUUGAGUGUUUGUGUUAACUUGGUAAAGAAGAAGAGAAAAAAAUGUUUUACACUGUGC
This 1115-nucleotide long non-coding RNA is filed under the name Brassica napus (rape). RNAcentral describes it as "long non-coding RNA (BNAP_LNC015469)". Lineage: Eukaryota; Viridiplantae; Streptophyta; Magnoliopsida; Brassicales; Brassicaceae. The record is from RNAcentral.